MicroRNA precursor from Delphinapterus leucas (beluga whale), 59 nucleotides. The record is from Ensembl. NCBI's taxonomy places the organism in Eukaryota, Metazoa, Chordata, Mammalia, Artiodactyla, Monodontidae.
UUUAGUGUGAUAAUGGCGUUUGAUGGUUUGGACACAAACACCAUUGUCACACUCCACAG